CCACUCAAAAAUAUAGAUUUGUCAUUGUGAAUGCUGUACACCAUACAUCAUUGAGAAUGAUAUUUUUCUUGACCUAUUCAGAGAUAGUCAUGAGUAGAGACUCUGACAGAUGCAUGAAAACUGAAUUAACUCCCUAAAUAUCAAUCAAGUAUGGACUAUGGUUGAAGUGCCUAUGGGUAUGACUCAAUAGGCUGCUAACAGGAAUGUCAAUCCG
RNAcentral lists this long non-coding RNA (214 nucleotides) under Elaeis guineensis (African oil palm). RNAcentral's name for it is "long non-coding RNA (EGUI_LNC062728)". Lineage: Eukaryota; Viridiplantae; Streptophyta; Magnoliopsida; Arecales; Arecaceae. The record is from RNAcentral.